RNAcentral lists this transfer RNA (62 nucleotides) under uncultured Symbiodinium. The record is from RNAcentral. Lineage: Eukaryota; Dinophyceae; Suessiales; Symbiodiniaceae.
CGGUGGUCUAGUGGUUAGAAUAGUGGUAUGCAGACCCUAUGCUCCGGGAUCGAAUCCGCUCA